GACGAACGCUGGCGGCGUGCCUAAUACAUGCAAGUCGAGCGAUGAAGAUUGGUGCUUGCACCAAUUUGAAGAGCAGCGCACGGGUGAGUAACGCGUGGGGAAUCUGCCUUUGAUCGGGGGACAACAUUUGGAAACGAAUGCUAAUACCGCAUAACAACUUUAAACAUAAGUUUUAAGGUUGAAAGAUGCAAUUGCAUCACUCAAAGAUGAUCCCGCGUUGUAUUAGUUAGGUGGUGAGGUAAAGGCUCACCAAGGCGAGGAUACAUAGCCGACCUGAGAGGGUGGGCGGCCACACUGGGACGGGGAAACGGCCAAAACGCCUACGGGAGGCAGCAGUAGGGAAUCUUCGGCAAUGGACGAAAGUCUGACCGAGAAACGCCGCGUGAGGGAAGAAGGUUUUCGGAUCGUAAAACUCUGUUGGUAGAGAAGAAAGUUGGUGAGAGUGGAAAGCUCAUCAAGUGACGGUAACUACCCAGAAAGGGACGGCUAACUACGUG
RNAcentral lists this ribosomal RNA (497 nucleotides) under uncultured bacterium. RNAcentral describes it as "partial 16S ribosomal RNA". It matches the Rfam family "Bacterial small subunit ribosomal RNA", at positions 28 to 507 of the family's 1533-position model. The record is from RNAcentral.